Molecule: ribosomal RNA, 305 nt
Filed under: uncultured bacterium
Lineage: Bacteria
Description: bacterial SSU rRNA
Rfam family: Bacterial small subunit ribosomal RNA
Source: RNAcentral
GAGGCCUACGGGACGCAGCAGUGAGGAAUAUUGGUCAAUGGGAGAGAUCCUGAACCAGCCAAGCCGCGUGAGGGAAGACGGCCCUAUGGGUCGUAAACCUCUUUUGUCGGAGAACAAAACCCGGGACGUGUCCCGGACUGCGUGUAUCCGAAGAAAAAGCAUCGGCUAACUCCGUGCCAGCAGCCGCGGUAAUACGGAGGAUGCGAGCGUUAUCCGGAUUUAUUGGGUUUAAAGGGUGCGUAGGCGGUCUGUUAAGUCAGCGGUAAAAUUGCGGGGCUCAACACAGUCGAGCCGUUGAAACUGGG